CUCAGGCAGCAGAACGGCGAGCUUCUGCCAGAGAGACAGGUGGUGGAGUGGUUCGUCCAGAUCGCGAUGGCCCUGCAGUAUUUACACAAAAAACGGAUCUUGCACCGGGACCUGAAAACCAGGAAUAUCUUCCUUACUGACAUCAACAUUAUAAAAGUGGGAGAUCUGGGCUUUGCACACAUUCUGCAACAUCAUGACACUGCCAGCACCUUGGUCGGAACACCAUUAUACAUGAGCCCUGAGCUUAUUUUAAAUAAGCCAUACGACUACAAGGUCUCAAAGACAAAUCAAUGAGAGAUUUCCCCUAUCCAGUACGUCAUCAAGAAGCUGAACCUAAGAACAUCGUCAAAGCGAGAACGCCGGGCGGCUGAACAGGAAGCUCAGCUGCUCUCACAGCUCAAACAUCCCAAUAUUGUCACCUACCGGGAAUCAUGGGAAGGAAAGGACCAUCAAUUGUAUAUAGUUAUGGGCUUCUGUGAGGGAGGAGACCUGUAUCACAGGUUAAAGCAGCAGAACGGCGAGCUUCUGCCAGAGAGACAGGUGGUGGAUUGGUUUGUCCAGAUCGCGACGGCCCUGCAGGUAUCAAAACCUUCUGACUGAUUAGAUUUAAGAAUUCAACAGACUUAUACGAUCAGAUGCACCCUUCAGCUAUUAAUAGGUAGCACUAUGAUUUCUCAUGUUUCUUUUCUUGUUUUCUUUAGUAUUUACACGGGAACACAUCUUGCACCGACACCUGAAAACGCAGAACAUCUUCCUGACUAAGACCAACAUUAUUAAAGUGGGAGAUCUGGGCAUCGCGGGUUCUGGAGAAUCAGAACGACAUGGCCAGAACCCUGAUUGGAACACCUUAUUACAUGAGCCCUGAGCUUUUCUCCAACAAGCCAUACAACUACAAGGUCUCAAAGACGAAUCAAUUUUUUUUGGCUAAAACUCCCAUAUAUUACUGACUGCAGCCUAUUUAUUGAUCUGCAUAAUAUAUAAUCCUCACUCUGUCCUGUCAACAGAAGUAGACCACCGAUGAGCAGGUAUUAUGAGUGGUUGUCCAUUGUCAGGACAGAGGAACUAAAAAUUUUCCAGCUGAU
Molecule: long non-coding RNA, 1082 nt
Organism: Silurus meridionalis
Lineage: Eukaryota; Metazoa; Chordata; Actinopteri; Siluriformes; Siluridae
Exons: 2
Source: RefSeq, a predicted model, not a curated record